RNAcentral lists this ribosomal RNA (454 nucleotides) under uncultured bacterium. Its description in RNAcentral is "bacterial SSU rRNA". It matches the Rfam family "Bacterial small subunit ribosomal RNA", at positions 340 to 786 of the family's 1533-position model. The record is from RNAcentral.
UACGGGAGGCAGCAGUGGGGAAUAUUGCACAAUGGGCGCAAGCCUGAUGCAGCCAUGCCGCGUGUAUGAAGAAGGCCUUCGGGUUGUAAAGUACUUUCAGUCGUGAGGAAGGUGUUAAGGUUAAUAACCUUAGCAAUUGACGUUAGCGACAGAAGAAGCACCGGCUAACUCCGUGCCAGCAGCCGCGGUAAUACGGAGGGUGCGAGUGUUAAUCGGAAUUACUGGGCGUAAAGGGCACGCAGGCGGUUAAUUAAGUUGGAUGUGAAAUCCCCGGGCUUAACCUGGGAAUGGCAUUCAAGACUGGUUAGCUAGAGUCUUGUAGAGGGGGUAGAAUUCCAUGUGUAGCGGUGAAAUGCGUAGAGAUGUGGAGGAAUACCGGUGGCGAAGGCGGCCCCUGGACAAAGACUGACGCUCAUGUGCGAAAGCGUGGGGAGCGAAACAGGGAUUAGAUACC